Rosa rugosa (rugosa rose) is the source of this 1337-nucleotide long non-coding RNA. RefSeq lists it as uncharacterized. NCBI's taxonomy places the organism in Eukaryota, Viridiplantae, Streptophyta, Magnoliopsida, Rosales, Rosaceae. The record is from RefSeq and is a predicted model, not a curated record. The transcript is spliced from 2 exons.
ACAAGAAAAAUAGUCUAUGACAACAUCAUAUUUACAACAUGCUGUAAAUGCUCGUUGUCAUCUCUAAUAUUCUACAACAUGCGCAGAAAGAGUGUUGUAUUAAAUUAUUUACCACUACAUGCGUCAUUUGCAUGUUGUUAAUUUCGUUAUCGAUAACUCAGUUUGCACGUUGUUGUCUACUUGUUGUCAAUUAAUGUAUCAACAAGUAGGAGUGCAUGUUGUUAAAUAUUUUCAAAACAACAACGUGCAGCUAACGCGGUCGAAACUUUGAGAUAAAAGAUUAAAAAAAAAAAAAAACAAAAGGGCCUGUUGACUAAAGUCAGUAAAAAAAAGAAGCAUCAGCUCUCUAAAUCCAUCAUAGACCCAAAACAUAUAAAAUCCUGGGCUUGAAGAAUUGAGCUCUGAAGCUCUCAAUUCUCAAACCCUAAACCGCCCGAAACGAUCGCUUCCCUCCGUCGUCACUCUCAAUUGGAUCGACGACUUCACUAUGGAGCAAGACUGCUUGUCCGGCGUCGCCGCCGUCGAGCACGUCCUGCUUAGCCGACGGCAGGGUCGAGUUUGCCUUUGGCUGAGCUCCUCCAAUCCCUCCCGUAGUCCCAUACCUCCCAAGCGCCGCCCAGCGUCGGCUACGUCCUUACUAGUUCAUCCUCUGCCUCGGCUCCGUCGACCGCGCCACUGACUCCGCCGACCUCGGUUGUCAAUCUCUAAUGCAUUUCCGGCGUUACGGCUACGAAGUUUGAGGUACAGUUUCUGUCAAGAUGGAGAAACAAUGGCUGCAAUUUGAUAGAGAAAAGGAACAGACAAAGAAGAGGAAAAGAGGUGAUGAAGAACAGAAAAAGAAGGGGAAAAAGAAGAGGAGGAAGUGGACCAAUCAAUGCUCCAAGCAAUGAUCUUGAAAAUAGCAGAUGUGCACUUUUGAAUUGGAACAAUUAUGAAGAAGAUGAAGUGGUAGCUGAAGGAAUGAUCUCUUCAACAAAUCCAAGUACAAAAGUUCAUUGUGUGCCUCUUGGACGAAAUUGUUGGAAGGUUUGGGUUGAUGUGGUGUUUGAUGAGUAUCAGACUAUGGAAGUGUACAGAUUAACCAUGGAUGCCAAACAACUUGGUGAAGCUAUAGGAAGCACUCUUGCAUGGCCCAAAAGCUCCAUUGAAAUGCUUCCUUAGUAGUUGAAGUAGCAGGUACAUUUUGCUUUACUAGAGAAUUUAUGUAGGUCAGGAAGUACCAUGCAUGUUUUGUCAAUGCUGGUGAACAAAGAAUCCAGUACUUUGUCAUGCAUGUUUUGUAAAGAACAUAUGUAUAAGAGAAUGUGGCACUCCUAAUGAAAUGUAUAUUUUUCAUA